This 428-nucleotide long non-coding RNA is filed under the name Suricata suricatta (meerkat). RNAcentral describes it as "lncRNA (ENSSSUG00005009050.1)". Lineage: Eukaryota; Metazoa; Chordata; Mammalia; Carnivora; Herpestidae. The record is from RNAcentral.
CUUCCACUUUGUUUCAUUCUUCCUUAUUUUCUUUGUUACUUUUCUUAUUAUUCAAGAUUUAGGAGAGCAACUGUAAGGUCUGGAAAGAUUCAGCUCUAGAGGAACCUCACUAUCCACUCUGGAAGAAACAAGAACCCAAGGCAGGUGGCGCCACUGGUCCUCCCAGGGCGGUGUGUCCUGAAGCCUGAUGGUGAUUCCAUCCUCCUGCACCUGUUCCCUGACCACAGUCAAACCCUGCAGAAUUGGCUUCCUCCGUGCUUUGCACCACUGGCUUCACGCUGCCCGGCUUUCCUGAAGAACACUGAGUUGCUUCUUCUCUUCAAAACGACUGCUUUCGAUGCUUUUGUUUACACUGAUUUCACAUGGGGGUAAGGAAAAGGACUACAAAGUGUCAAUCAUUCUGGAAACAGUCCUGGAUUUCACAAGGU